GUGGGGAAUAUUGGACAAUGGGCGAAAGCCUGAUCCAGCCAUGCCGCGUGUGUGAAGAAGGUCUUCGGAUUGUAAAGCACUUUAAGUUGGGAGGAAGGGUAGUAACCUAAUACGUUGCUACUUUGACGUUACCGACAGAAUAAGCACCGGCUAACUUCGUGCCAGCAGCCGCGGUAAUACGAAGGGUGCAAGCGUUAAUCGGAAUUACUGGGCGUAAAGCGCGCGUAGGUGGUUCAGUAAGUUGGAAGUGAAAUCCCCAGGCUCAACCUGGGAACUGCUUUCAAAACUGCUGAGCUAGAGUACGGUAGAGGGUGGUGGAAUUUCCUGUGUAGCGGUGAAAUGCGUAGAUAUAGGAAGGAACACCAGUGGCGAAGGCGACCACCUGGACUGAUACUGACACUGAGGUGCGAAAGCGUGGGGAGCAAACAGGAUUAGAAACCCGAGUAGUCC
Molecule: ribosomal RNA, 450 nt
Filed under: uncultured bacterium
Lineage: Bacteria
Description: partial 16S ribosomal RNA
Rfam family: Bacterial small subunit ribosomal RNA
Source: RNAcentral